This 313-nucleotide unclassified non-coding RNA is filed under the name Hevea brasiliensis (rubber tree). Lineage: Eukaryota; Viridiplantae; Streptophyta; Magnoliopsida; Malpighiales; Euphorbiaceae. The record is from RNAcentral.
ACACGCACAGACCCCAAAAAAAUAAAAAAAAAAAGGGGAAAGAAAACCUUACCUACCAAUUUGCAUUCCUACCUCAUCGAUACUGAACUCACAGUCAUCCUGGUAACACAUUUGAGAGGUUGAAUUAAGUAGUCUUUUAGGAUGAGUAGCUACAAAAUUAUGAUUAAAAAGUUAGGUUAACUCUAAGUAGUUCAAUGCUAUUCCAAGAGUUUAGGCGAGUUCUGAAAACCUGUUUUCCAUGUGUUAUGCAAAUACAUUGACAUCUUCCCUGAAGACCCUGGAAAUGCAUCCUUCAAUUUCAGACCAAGUUUGA